RNAcentral lists this small RNA (148 nucleotides) under Marmota monax (woodchuck). Lineage: Eukaryota; Metazoa; Chordata; Mammalia; Rodentia; Sciuridae. The record is from RNAcentral.
GCCAGGCACAGUGGCGCAUGCCUGUAAUCCCAGCAGCUCUGGAGGCUGAGACAGGAGGAUCUCUAGUUUAAAGCCAGCCUCAGCAAAAAUUUAAGGCCAAAAAAAAAAAAAAAAAGGUGCUAAACAACUCAGUGAGACUCUGUCUCUA